UGCCCAGUGAUGAUACAUCCUUGCUCCCCGUGCCCUCCGGGGCUAUGGGCGACAACAUGGGUGCCCUGGGCUGGGCCAGUUGGGCCGUUGCCUGGGGGCUGAGGGCA
Molecule: small nucleolar RNA, 107 nt
Filed under: Meriones unguiculatus (Mongolian gerbil)
Lineage: Eukaryota; Metazoa; Chordata; Mammalia; Rodentia; Muridae
Description: Small nucleolar RNA SNORD23 (ENSMUGG00000017911.1)
Rfam family: Small nucleolar RNA SNORD23
About the family: The members of this family belong to the C/D class of snoRNAs which contain the C (UGAUGA) and D (CUGA) box motifs. Most of the members of the box C/D family function in directing site-specific 2'-O-methylation of substrate RNAs.
Source: RNAcentral